UUGCCCUAGUAACGGCGAGUGAAGCGGCAACAGCUCAAAUUUGAAAUCUGGCGCAAGCCCGAGUUGUAAUUUGUAGAGGAUGCUUCUGGGUAGCGGCCGGUCUAAGUUCCUUGGAACAGGACGUCAUAGAGGGUGAGAAUCCCGUAUGUGACUGGCUUGCACCCUCCACGUAGCUCCUUCGACGAGUCGAGUUGUUUGGGAAUGCAGCUCUAAAUGGGAGGUAAAUUUCUUCUAAAGCUAAAUACCGGCCAGAGACCGAUAGCGCACAAGUAGAGUGAUCGAAAGAUGAAAAGCACUUUGGAAAGAGAGUUAAAAAGCACGUGAAAUUGUUGAAAGGGAAGCGCCCGCAACCAGACUUUGCGGCAGUGUUCGGCCGGUCUUCUGACCGGUUUACUCGCUGUCGUGAGGCCAUCAUCGUCUGGGACCGCUGGAUAAGACCUUAGGAAUGUAGCUCCCCUCGGGGAGUGUUAUAGCCUCUGGUGAUGCAGCGCGUCUCGGGCGAGGUCCGCGCUUCGGCAAGGAUGAUGGCGUAAUGGUUGUCGGCGGCCCGUCUUGAAACACGGACCAAGGAGUCUAACAUCUAUGCGAGUGUUCGGGUGUCAAACCCCUACGCGUAAUGAAAGUGAACGGAGGUGGGAACUUUUUGUGCACCAUCGACCGAUCCUGAUGUCCUCGGAUGGAUUUGAGUAAGAGCAUAGCUGUUGGGACCCGAAAGAUGGUGAACUAUGCCUGAAUAGGGUGAAGCCAGAGGAAACUCUGGUGGAGGCUCGCAGCGGUUCUGACGUGCAAAUCGAUCGUCAAAUUUGGGUAUAGGGGCGAAAGACUAAUCGAACCAUCUAGUAGCUG
This 846-nucleotide ribosomal RNA is filed under the name Pseudocercospora eucalyptorum. RNAcentral describes it as "eukaryotic LSU rRNA". It matches the Rfam family "Eukaryotic large subunit ribosomal RNA", at positions 75 to 953 of the family's 3401-position model. The record is from RNAcentral. Lineage: Eukaryota; Fungi; Ascomycota; Dothideomycetes; Mycosphaerellales; Mycosphaerellaceae.